CGCGGUAAGCCGCGAUAGGCCGGGGGGAGCUGCACACGAGCCGAGAUCCCCGGGUGCCCGAAUGGGGAAACCCGGCCGGCGGGAACGCCGGUCACUGCGUAACAGCAGAGCGAACCCGGGGAACUGAAACAUCUCAGUACCCGGAGGAAGAGGAAUCAACCGAGAUCCCCGGAGUAGCGGCGAGCGAAACGGGGCGACGCCCAAACCGGCCUCCUUGCGGGGUCGGGGUUGUAGGACCCGCGGACGGGUCAGGAGAAGCGACGCGAAGUCCCCUGGGAUGGGGCGCCCGAGACGGUGAGAGCCCGGUAGCGGAACGUGACGAACCUGGUCUAGCGGUGUUCCUGAGUAGCGCCCGGCACGAGGAACCGGGCGUGAAGCUGGGGGGACCACCCUCCAAGGCGAAAGACUCCCGUGUGACCGAUAGUGGACGAGUACCGUGAGGGACAGGUGAAAAGCACCCCUGUGCGGGGAGUGAAAGAGAGCCUGAAACCACUGGCCUACAAGCGGUAGGAGGGCGGGUGUUCGCAAGAGCACAGCGCCUAACUGCGUGCCUUUUGCAUUAUGAUCCGGCGAGUUACGCCUCGGCCGCGCGGUUAAGCCCUUGUGGGGCGGAGCCAGAGCGAAAGCGAGUCCUGUCAAGAGGGCGCGUGGAGUGGCCGGGGGUAGACCCGAAGCCAGGGCGAUCUACCCAUGGGCAGGGUGAAGCUGGGGUAACACCUAGUGGAGGCCCGCACCGGUAUGGGUUGAAAACCGUUCGGAUGACCUGUGGGUAGGGGUGAAAGGCCAAUCAAGCCUGGAGAUAGCUGGUUCUCCCCGAAAUCUAUUGAGGUAGAGCCUCACGGCUGCGAGCACGCAAGUGCGCAUCGCGUUGUCGGCAGGGGGUAGAGCGACUGGAUGGGCGCGGGCCGGCGGAGCCGGUACCAACCCCAACCAAACUCCGAAUACCUGACCGAUGGACCGUGGGAGGCAGUCGCCGAGCGAUAAUGUCCGGCGGCGAGAGGGAAAGAACCCAGAGCCACAGCUAAGGCCCCGAAGUGGCCGCUGAGUAUAGCGAAGGAUGUGUCGCUACCGUGACAACCGGGAGGUUGGCUUAGAAGCAGCCAUUCCUUGAAAGAGUGCGUAAUAGCUCACCGGUCCAGUGGCGAUGCGCCGAGAAUGGUCGGGAUUAAGCGGCCCGCCGAAGCUUGGCCUUGUGCUUAUGGCACAGGGGUAGGGGAGCGUUCCCGGAGCAGUGAAGCCCCGGUGGGAACCUUGGGGUGGAGUGACGGGAAGUGAGGAUGCCGGACUGAGUACGCGCACAUGCGGGUGAGAACCCCGCACACCGGAAGCCUAAGGGUUCCCGCGCCAUGGCGAUCAGCGCGGGGUGAGGCGGCCCCUAAGCCGAGGCCCCAGAGGCGUAGGCGAUGGGCAGCGGGUCAACAGUCCCGCCCCGUCUCGCAGUGUUGAAGCUGUCAGGGACACCGGAACGAAGCGCGAGCGGCCUUGUGGAUUGGCCGUCUAAGCCUGUAGGCGCGAGCCGAGGGGGGAUGGCGAGCUGCGUCUUCGGACGCGGCGAGUCGCGUGGAGUCGACGGGCGAGAAAAGCUGACAGGGGAGCUGCGCGACGACCGUACCGUAAACCGACACAGGUAGGCGAGGCGAGUAGCCUCAGGUGAUCGAGUGAGACGUGGCCAAGGAACUCGGCAUAAUGAUCCCGUAACUUCGGAAGAAGGGAUGCCUCGCGUACGUCAGGGGCUUCGCGCCCCGAAGCGGAACGAGGCCGCAGUGAAUCGGCUCAAGCGACUGUUUAGCAAAAACACAGGUGCGUGCCAAGCCGCAUAAGGCGCCGUAUACGCACUGACGCCUGCCCGGUGCCGGAAGGUUAAGGGGAGAGGUUAGCCGCAAGGCGACGCCUUGAGCCGAAGCCCCGGUAAACGGCGGCCGUAACAAUAACGGUCCUAAGGUAGCGAAAUUCCUUGUCGGGUAAGUUCCGACCUGCACGAAUGGCGUAACGACCUCCCCGCUGUCUCCAGCAUCGGCUCAGCGAAAUUGAAUUCCCCGUGAAGAUGCGGGGUACCCGCGGUCAGACGGAAAGACCCUAUGAACCUUUACUGCAGCUUGGCAGUGGCGCCAGGAAGGGGCUGUGUAGGAUAGGUGGGAGGCAUCGAAGCCGGGGCGCCAGCCCCGGUGGAGCCGCCCUUGAAAUACCACCCUGCCGCUUUCUGGCGUCUAACCGAGCCCCGUGAAGCCGGGGCCGGAACCCUGCCUGGUGGGCAGUUUGACUGGGGCGGUCGCCUCCCAAACGGUAACGGAGGCGCGCGAUGGUGGGCUCAAGCCGGUCGGACAUCGGCUGCUGAGUGCAAAGGCACAAGCCCGCCUGACUGCGAGCGCGACGGCGCGAGCAGAGGGGAAACCCGGCCUUAGUGAUCCGGUGGCCCCGCGUGGAAGGGCCAUCGCUCAACGGAUAAAAGGUACUCUAGGGAUAACAGGCUGAUCUCCCCCAAGAGUCCACAUCGACGGGGAGGUUUGGCACCUCGAUGUCGGCUCAUCGCAUCCCGGGGCUGGAGCAGGUCCCAAGGGUUCGGCUGUUCGCCGAUUAAAGCGGUACGUGAGCUGGGUUUAGAACGUCGUGAGACAGUUCGGUCCCUAUCUGCCGCGGGUGUCGGAGACUUGCGAGGCGCCGUCCCCAGUACGAGAGGACCGGGACGGACGCGCCUCUGGUGCACCGGUUGUCACGCCAGUGGCACCGCCGGGUAGCCAAGCGCGGACGGGAUAACCGCUGAAGGCAUCUAAGCGGGAAACCCCCCUCCAAACCAGGUCU
Molecule: ribosomal RNA, 2799 nt
Filed under: Kiefferophyes invenustulus
Lineage: Eukaryota; Metazoa; Arthropoda; Insecta; Diptera; Chironomidae
Description: bacterial LSU rRNA
Rfam family: Bacterial large subunit ribosomal RNA
Source: RNAcentral